This 468-nucleotide ribosomal RNA is filed under the name uncultured bacterium. RNAcentral describes it as "partial 16S ribosomal RNA". It matches the Rfam family "Bacterial small subunit ribosomal RNA", at positions 28 to 507 of the family's 1533-position model. The record is from RNAcentral.
GACGAACGCUGGCGGCGCGCCUAACACAUGCAAGUCGAACGGAGCUGAGAGAAGCUUGCUUUUCUUAGCUUAGUGGCGCACGGGUGAGUAACGCGUGAGUAACCUGCCCUGGAGUGGGGGACAACAGUUGGAAACGACUGCUAAUACCGCAUAAGCCCACGAUCCGGCAUCGGAUUGAGGGAAAAGGAUUUAUUCGCUUCAGGAUGGACUCGCGUCCAAUUAGCUAGUUGGUGAGGUAACGGCCCACCAAGGCGACGAUUGGUAGCCGGACUGAGAGGUUGAACGGCCACGAUGGGACUGAGACACGGCCCAGACUCCUACGGGAGGGAGCAGUAGGGGAUAUUGCACAAGGGGGGAAACCCUGAUGCAGCGACGCCGCGUGGAGGAAGAAGGUUUUCGGAUUGUAAACUCCUGUCGUUAGAGACGAUAAUGACGGUACCUAACAAGAAAGCACCGGCUAACUACGUG